RNAcentral lists this ribosomal RNA (253 nucleotides) under uncultured bacterium. Its description in RNAcentral is "partial 16S ribosomal RNA". It matches the Rfam family "Bacterial small subunit ribosomal RNA", at positions 524 to 776 of the family's 1533-position model. The record is from RNAcentral.
GACAGAGGGUGCAAACGUUGUUCGGAAUUAUUGGGCGUAAAGAGCUCGUAGGCGGCUUGUCACGUCGGGUGUGAAAGCCCGGGGCUUAACCCCGGGUCUGCAUUCGAUACGGGCUAGCUAGAGUGUGGUAGGGGAGAUCGGAAUUCCUGGUGUAGCGGUGAAAUGCGCAGAUAUCAGGAGGAACACCAGAGGCGAAAGCGGCGCUCUGGGCUGCACCUGACGCUGAACUGCGAAAGCCAGGGGAGCGAACGGG